GUGCAAGCCUCCAGCGUAUUUGGGUCUGUGGUGACCCUGUGCAUUCGUACAGAACUUGUGAGAACAAGAUAAAAUGGUUUGAGGUCUUGCUCAGCUCCAGAGAGAGCAAAGUUAUAAAAAUUUCAGACAAUU
Sorex araneus (European shrew) is the source of this 132-nucleotide small nucleolar RNA. The record is from Ensembl. NCBI's taxonomy places the organism in Eukaryota, Metazoa, Chordata, Mammalia, Eulipotyphla, Soricidae.